This 332-nucleotide ribosomal RNA is filed under the name uncultured Candidatus Sumerlaeota bacterium. Its description in RNAcentral is "bacterial SSU rRNA". It matches the Rfam family "Bacterial small subunit ribosomal RNA", at positions 29 to 351 of the family's 1533-position model. Lineage: Bacteria; Candidatus Sumerlaeota. The record is from RNAcentral.
AACGAACGCUGGCGGCAGGCUUCAUACAUGCAAGUCGAGCGGUAAGGGCUCCGCAAGGGGCCCCUAGAGCGGCGAACGGGUGAGUAACAGGUGGAUAAUCUGCCUUUUGGUAGGGGACAACGGCUGGAAACGGCCGCUAAUACCGUAUGUGGUUGUUGUAACCAUGGUUACGACAAAGAAAGAGGCUGCAAGGCCUCGCCAAGAGAUGAGUCCGCCCCCCAUUAGCUAGUUGGCGGGAUAAUAGCCCACCAAGGCUUCGAUGGGUAGCCGAGCUGAGAGGUUGAUCGGCCACACUGGAACUGAGACACGGUCCAGACACCUACGGGAGGCUG